UACGUAGGUGGCAAGCGUUAUCCGGAAUUAUUGGGCGUAAAGCGCGCGCAGGCGGCUGUUUAAGUCUGGUGUUUAAACCAUGGGCUCAACCUGUGGUCGCACUGGAAACUGGGCAGCUUGAGUGCAGAAGAGGAAAGUGGAAUUCCACGUGUAGCGGUGAAAUGCGUAGAGAUGUGGAGGAACACCAGUGGCGAAGGCGACUUUCUGGGCUGUAACUGACGCUGAGGCGCAAAAGCGUGGGGAGCAAACAGG
This 252-nucleotide ribosomal RNA is filed under the name uncultured bacterium. RNAcentral describes it as "partial 16S ribosomal RNA". It matches the Rfam family "Bacterial small subunit ribosomal RNA", at positions 524 to 776 of the family's 1533-position model. The record is from RNAcentral.